AUUGAACGCUGGCGGCAGGCCUAACACAUGCAAGUCGAACGAGUGGCGGACGGGUGAGUAAUGUCUGGGAAACUGCCUGAUGGAGGGGGAUAACUACUGGAAACGGUAGCUAAUACCGCAUACCAUCGGAUGUGCCCAGAUGGGAUUAGCUAGUAGGUGGGGUAAAGGCUCACCUAGGCGACGAUCCCUAGCUGGUCUGAGAGGAUGACCAACCCACAUGGGAAGGAGGAACGGUCCAGACUCCCACGGGAGGCAGCAGUGGGGGAUAAUGGACCAUGGGGGGAAGCCCGGAUGAGCCAUGGCGGGGGGAUGAAGAAGGCCUUCGGGUUGUUAAAUACUUUCAGGGGGGAAGCGUUACCCGCAGAAGAAGCACCGGCUAACUCCGUGCCAGCAGCCGCGGUAAUAC
RNAcentral lists this ribosomal RNA (406 nucleotides) under uncultured bacterium. RNAcentral describes it as "partial 16S ribosomal RNA". It matches the Rfam family "Bacterial small subunit ribosomal RNA", at positions 29 to 526 of the family's 1533-position model. The record is from RNAcentral.